Molecule: non-coding RNA, 73 nt
Organism: Gymnothorax javanicus (giant moray)
Lineage: Eukaryota; Metazoa; Chordata; Actinopteri; Anguilliformes; Muraenidae
Source: the annotation of a GenBank genome assembly
GCCUUGUUAGCGCAGUAGGUAGCGCGUCAAUCUCAAAGUCUGAAGGUUGUGAGUUUAAUCCUCACACGGGGCA